This 76-nucleotide transfer RNA is filed under the name Planctomycetota bacterium. Its description in RNAcentral is "Planctomycetes bacterium (sediment metagenome) tRNA-Val". It matches the Rfam family "tRNA". From Rfam's summary of the family: Transfer RNA (tRNA) molecules are approximately 80 nucleotides in length. Lineage: Bacteria; Pseudomonadati; Planctomycetota. The record is from RNAcentral.
GGGCGGUUAGCUCAGUUGGUAGAGCGCAUGGAUCACACCCAUGAGGUCACAGGUUCGAGUCCUGUACCGCCCACCC